This 468-nucleotide ribosomal RNA is filed under the name uncultured bacterium. Its description in RNAcentral is "partial 16S ribosomal RNA". It matches the Rfam family "Bacterial small subunit ribosomal RNA", at positions 28 to 507 of the family's 1533-position model. The record is from RNAcentral.
GACGAACGCUGGCGGCGUGCUUAACACAUGCAAGUCGAACGGAAAGGCCCUGAUUUUGUGGGGUUCUCGUUUGGGGAACGGGUGAGUAACACGUGAGUAACCUGCCCCUGACUUUGGGAUAACUUCAGGAAACUGGGGCUAAUACCGGAUAGGAGCUCCUGCUGCAUGGGGGGGGUUGGAAAGUUUCGGCGGUGGGGGAUGGACUGGCGGCUUAUCAGCUUGUUGGUGGGGUAGUGGCUUACCAAGGCUUUGACGGGUAGCCGGCCUGAGAGGGGGACCGGCCACAUUGGGCCUGCGAUACGGCCCAGUCUCCUACGGGAGGCAGCGGUGGGGAAUAUUGCGCAAUGGGCGGAAGCCUGAUGCAGCAGCGCCGCGUGCGGGAUGACGUCCUUCGGGUUGUAAACCGCUUUCUCCUGUGACGAAGCGUGAGUGACGGUAAUGGGUAAAGAAGCACCGGCUAACUACGUG